CUUCCGCAAUGCGCGAAAGCGUGACGGGGGUAGUCCGAGUGCCGUCCUAACGGACGGCUUUUAGCGAGCCCGAUACGCUCGUUGAAUAAGUGGUGGGUAAAUCCUGUGCCAGCCGCCGCGGUAACACAGGUAGCACAAGUGGUAUCCACGAAUAUUGAGCUUAAAGCGCCCGUAGCCGGCUCGUCAAGUUUCCUGUGAAAUCUUCAGGCUUAACCUGAAGGCGUGCAGGAAAUACUAACGGGCUCGGGAGUGGAGGAGGCAUGGGGUACUGUAGGGGGAGGAGUAAAAUCCUGUAAUCCUUGCAGGACCGCCAGUGGCGAAGGCGCCAUGCCAAGACACGUCCGACGGUGAGGGACGAAGGCUAGGGGAGCAAAUCGGAUUAGAUACCCGAGUAGUCCUAGCAGUAAAUGAUGCAGACUUGGCGUCGCAUCCGCUUCGUGCGGAUGCGGUGCCGUAGGGAAACCGUUAAGUCUGCCGCUUGGGGAGUACGGUCGCAAGACUGAAACUUAAAGGAAUUGGCGGGGGGAAACAC
This 532-nucleotide ribosomal RNA is filed under the name uncultured euryarchaeote. Its description in RNAcentral is "bacterial SSU rRNA". It matches the Rfam family "Archaeal small subunit ribosomal RNA", at positions 347 to 881 of the family's 1478-position model. The record is from RNAcentral. Lineage: Archaea; Methanobacteriati; Methanobacteriota.